AACGAACGCUGGCGGCGCGCUUAACACAUGCAAGUCGAACGAGAAGCUGUAGCAAUACAGUUGUACAGUGGCGAACGGGCGAGGAAUACAUGGGUAACCUACCCUCGAGUGGGGAAUAACCAGCCGAAAGGCUGGCUAAUACCGCGUACGCUUCCCAGUCUGCGGGUUGGGAAGGAAAGCUCUACCGUGGGUAGAGCGCUCAAGGACGGGCUCAUGUCCUAUCAGCUUGUUGGAGGGUAACGGCCUACCAAGGCAACGACGGGUAGCUGGUCUGAGAGGACGAUCAGCCACACUGGCACUGCGACACGGGCCAGACUCCUACGGGAGGCAGCAGUGAGGAAUAUUGCGCAAUGGGCGACAGCCUGACGCAGCGACGCCGCGUGAGGGAUGACGG
This 394-nucleotide ribosomal RNA is filed under the name uncultured bacterium. RNAcentral's name for it is "bacterial SSU rRNA". It matches the Rfam family "Bacterial small subunit ribosomal RNA", at positions 29 to 414 of the family's 1533-position model. The record is from RNAcentral.